AGCAGCCUGCUGUGUACGUGUAUAUGAAUAGGUGUUUUGAGCCAACACUAAUUAAACGGGAAAAUGUCUCUGAGUAUGUAUUGCAUGCCCUGAACCAAAAACUUCAAGGAAGCAUGAAGUAAUCAGGAAUUUACCCACCUGCUUUAGCAGGUUCAAAGCAUUCAUAUUACGGCACAGCGGGUUUUUC
This 187-nucleotide non-coding RNA is filed under the name Oxobacter pfennigii. RNAcentral's name for it is "6S / SsrS RNA". It matches the Rfam family "6S / SsrS RNA". From Rfam's summary of the family: E. coli 6S RNA was the first non coding RNA to be sequenced, but its function was unknown until recently. It consists of 184 nucleotides that fold into an extended hairpin structure with a large single-stranded internal bulge. The record is from Rfam by way of RNAcentral. Lineage: Bacteria; Bacillati; Bacillota; Clostridia; Eubacteriales; Clostridiaceae.